RNAcentral lists this unclassified non-coding RNA (240 nucleotides) under soil metagenome. Its description in RNAcentral is "partial contains 5.8S ribosomal RNA, internal transcribed spacer 2, and large subunit ribosomal RNA". The record is from RNAcentral.
AACUGAUACUACCUGCGGGAACCUGCGGAGGGAUCAUUACAGAGUUUUCUAACUCCCAAACCCAUGUGAACUUACCAUUGUUGCCUCGGCGGAGCCUACCCUGUAGCUACCCUAUAAGGUGGUUACCCUGUAGCGCCCCGCCGGUGGAUUUUCAAACUCUUGUUAUUUUUAGUAAUCUGAGAGUCUUAUUUUAAAUAAGUCAAAACUUUCAACAAUGGAUCUCUAGAUCGGAAGAGCACA